Molecule: long non-coding RNA, 308 nt
Filed under: Rattus norvegicus (Norway rat)
Lineage: Eukaryota; Metazoa; Chordata; Mammalia; Rodentia; Muridae
Description: long non-coding RNA NONRATT015690
Source: RNAcentral
AACAAGGCUCCCUCAGCUUAGUGAGGCAAGGGCGCCUUCUUCAGAAAGCCCUGAAGGGUUUUUUUUUGGGGGGGGGCAAAAAACAAAACAAGAGAAAUUCCCAGGAGGGCAGAGACUUGGUUUAUUAAGCUAUGGGGCCAAAGAAAGAAUCCUGACAAGAAGGAUGGGAAUUGUGUUCCACACUGGGAUUCCGCCCUCAAACCCACGCCAUCCAUCUCUUUUCAAACCUUUGGGGGAGGAAAGACCCUAUUUCUUCUUAAGAGCAUUUAAAAUCCUCCAACAAAGUAAAGUUUACUUGGCAAAGCAAA